AGAAGGCGUUUAAUGGAACGUUGG
RNAcentral lists this non-coding RNA (24 nucleotides) under Arabidopsis thaliana (thale cress). Lineage: Eukaryota; Viridiplantae; Streptophyta; Magnoliopsida; Brassicales; Brassicaceae. The record is from RNAcentral.